GACGAACGCUGGCGGCGUGCUUAACACAUGCAAGUCGAGCGGUAAGGCCCCUUCGGGGGUACACGAGCGGCGAACGGGUGAGUAACACGUGAGCAAUCUGCCCAUCACAUCGGGAUAACUCCGGGAAACCGAAGCUAAUACCGAAUACGACCACCUCCGGCAUCGGAUGGUGGUGGAAAGUUCCGGCGGUGAUGGAUGAGCUCGCGGCCUAUCAGCUUGUUGGUGGGGUAACGGCCCACCAAGGCUUCGACGGGUAGCCGGCCUGAGAGGGUGACCGGCCACACUGGGACUGAGACACGGCCCAGACUCCUACGGGAGGCAGCAGUGGGGAAUAUUGGACAAUGGGCGAAAGCCUGAUCCAGCAACGCCGCGUGAGGGAUGACGGCCUUCGGGUUGUAAACCUCCUUCAGCAGGGACGAAGCGAAAGUGACGGUACCUGCAGAAGAAGCACCGGCCAACUACGUG
RNAcentral lists this ribosomal RNA (465 nucleotides) under uncultured bacterium. RNAcentral describes it as "partial 16S ribosomal RNA". It matches the Rfam family "Bacterial small subunit ribosomal RNA", at positions 28 to 507 of the family's 1533-position model. The record is from RNAcentral.